CUUACUGUGGGUUACGGAUCGUGGACCGGGCUCUUUGCGGAGCUUGUGAAGCGCUUCUGUGCCUGCGUUUUAUAACAAACACUUUAAAGUAUCAGAAUGUGUAUUGCGAUGUAACGCAUCCUAUAUACAACUUUCAGCAACGGAUCUCUUGGCUCUCGCAUCGAUGAAGAACGCAGCGAAAUGCGAUAAGUAAUGUGAAUUGCAGAAUUCAGUGAAUCAUCGAAUCUUUGAACGCACCUUGCGCUCCUUGGUAUUCCGAGGAGCAUGCCUGUUUGAGUGUCAUGAAAUCUUCAAUCUACAAGCUUUUUAAAUGGUUUUGUAGGCUUGGACUUGGAGGCUUGUCGGCCUUUAUUGGUCGGCUCCUCUCAAACGCAUUAGCUUGGUUCCUUGCGGAUCGGCUUGUCGGUGUGAUAAUGUCUACGCCGCGACCGUGAAGCGUUUUUGGGCGAGCUUCUAAUUGUCUCAGUAUGGAGACAAUAUUAUGACCUCUGACCUCAAAUCAGGUAGGACUACCCGCUGAACUUAAGCAUAUCAAU
This 536-nucleotide ribosomal RNA is filed under the name Ganoderma subfornicatum. RNAcentral describes it as "eukaryotic LSU rRNA". The stretch from base 129 to 282 matches the Rfam family "5.8S ribosomal RNA". The record is from RNAcentral. Lineage: Eukaryota; Fungi; Basidiomycota; Agaricomycetes; Polyporales; Polyporaceae.